Long non-coding RNA from Camelina sativa (false flax), 363 nucleotides. RefSeq lists it as uncharacterized. Lineage: Eukaryota; Viridiplantae; Streptophyta; Magnoliopsida; Brassicales; Brassicaceae. The record is from RefSeq and is a predicted model, not a curated record.
CGUAAACUCUUCCGCCACAAAUGUCAAGUUUAAGUGUAAAAUCUUCCGCCACAAACGGCAAGUUUAAGAGCUUGCGACGUUUCCAACAAAUCUGAUGAGGCGGUUAUUCUGAAGACUUUGAUGGUGAAGCGGUGAUGAGAUGAACAGAGCUUGCGGUGAAAGGGUGUUUUCGGCGAGCAUUGGAGACUUAUCAAACACAACACACGCAGAUACACACAUGUCCUAAAAUUGGAUUUUUAUUAUGUAGAAUAUUCUACAAUAUUUUUCUUUAUUAUGAUAAUAUGUAAAAGUCCAGCUUGUUGGACUUAUUCCAUGAACCAAUUGUAGCAGCCUUAAUGGGCUUUCCAUUUCAAGAAAUUUAAC